GACAUCACUUUUAUCAGUUAAUUUACCUGGACAGCUCCAAAAGCAUAUAUGAUUAGGUCUCACAAUUCAUCAAAGAAAAAAACUAAAUGCCAGAGAUAUUUAACUUGGAAUCCUCAAUCUUGCAGCAUCAAAGAGUAGAAAAAAUAUUCGUUAUAAAAACCAAUGUUCUCAGAAAGGAAAAAGGAUGGGCCUCCUUCUUUCUCUUCAAAUCAUAUGGAUGUGUUUAUAAAGGACUUAGGCCAGUCACCAUAUACUUCUCCUUGAAUUCAUUGUCAACAUUCUUAUAAACAGCAGAAUCAUAGCAAUACAUGCCUCAUUCAACAGCUCUCACUUGAUUCUUUAGGAAUAUUUUCUUAGUUUCAGUAGCAAAACAAGCCUAAAGGACAUGGUACUAAUUGAUUUUACAAGCUUUCUUGAUCCCACAGCAAAUUGGAUGGGCAUUCUCAAAGAAAUUUGAAUAUCAUUCGAACUGCAGAAACACAUGUUAGCUUCAUUAUAACCUCAAUGAUGAAUGAUGACAACAAAUUAAUGCUAUUCUAGGUCAAAGAAUUAAAUACAGACACAAGGAGUUGUAUUUGAGGAAUAGAAAAAUUAUCUGUAUUCUGUACAUUAUGAACUUAACUAAGCAAAGAGAUUAUGUAAAGAAAAAGAAAGCAAGAAUACUCAUUUUCAAUCCUUUAAAAGUAGGAAUUGCGGAAAAAGAUCAUGCCACAUAAACUUUUUAAACAUUUGGUACGUUUUGUGACAUCACGUGGACCACUGGAAUUCAUAAAAUGCCUUUCCCACAAACAUACUCCUAUGUCAAAAACAUCUAUAACAUAGAAGCAUUUCAAGUCCAAUUCUCAUGAUGGCGCCAGAACAAAGAUUUCUAUCAGGAGUGAUCUAUUUCAUGUGAUGGAACGACAAUAGCACAAGCAAUGAAACAGAAUAGAAGUUCUAACCUUCACAGCAUUAUAGACAAUUUUAACAUACCUUCCAAAAGGUACUCUGGGG
Molecule: unclassified non-coding RNA, 993 nt
Filed under: Hevea brasiliensis (rubber tree)
Lineage: Eukaryota; Viridiplantae; Streptophyta; Magnoliopsida; Malpighiales; Euphorbiaceae
Source: RNAcentral